GGUACACAAAUUUAACCACUUGUGUACCUUAAAAGCCACCCAUGUUCCUUUGUUUUAGUUGGAUCAAGUUUACAUACAUUUUUUUUUAUAUCCAAUGAGAUUGAUUCUCUGCAUAACCUGGACAUGGGUGCAUUUUAGAUAGAAAAUGUUUUAUAAUUUGUUUGGGCUCCUAAAUUGAAUAUUAAAAUGAUUUCCUACCCAUAAUUUCAAUUGUUUCACAAAUAAUUGGAGCCUGGAGGCGUUUGUUAUCAAUCUAGUAAAAUGGAUUUUACUACAAUUAAUAUGCCAAAUUGGUUUGUUAAUCAACAAGUCUGCAACCGUCAAUAUGCCAUAGAUUUCCAAAACAACCAAGUAAAAACCAUUUAUGCUUCAACCAUUAUCACUCUAAAUCCUACUUUUGCAAGUGAUAACCAUAGUCCCUG
Molecule: long non-coding RNA, 422 nt
Filed under: Medicago truncatula (barrel medic)
Lineage: Eukaryota; Viridiplantae; Streptophyta; Magnoliopsida; Fabales; Fabaceae
Description: lncRNA gene16298
Source: RNAcentral